Molecule: ribosomal RNA, 301 nt
Filed under: uncultured bacterium
Lineage: Bacteria
Description: partial 16S ribosomal RNA
Rfam family: Bacterial small subunit ribosomal RNA
Source: RNAcentral
CAGCCGCCGCGGUAAAACGUAGGGUCCGAGCGUUGUCCGGAAUUAUUGGGCGUAAAGGGCUCGUAGGCGGUUUGUUGCGUCGGGAGUGAAAACCCAGGGCUUAACUUUGGGCUUGCUUUCGAUACGGGCAGACUUGAGGCAUUGAGGGGAGAACGGAAUUCCUGGUGUAGCGGUGAAAUGCGCAGAUAUCAGGAGGAACACCGGUGGCGAAGGCGGUUCUCUGGCAAUGUUCUGACGCUGAGGAGCGAAAGUGUGGGGAGCGAACAGGAUUAGAUACCCGCGUAGUCCCUGUCUCUUAUAC